UACGAAGGGGGCGAGCGUUAUUCGGAAUCACUGGGCGUAAAGCGUGCGUAGGCGGUUCUAAAAGUUAGAAGUGAAAGCCCAGGGCUCAACCCUGGAAUUGCUUUUAAAACUAUAGGACUAGAAUUCGGGAGAGGAUAGCGGAAUUGUCAGUGUAGCAGUGAAAUGCGUAGAUAUUGACAGGAACACCAGUGGCGUAAGCGGCUAUCUGGACCGACAUUGACGCUGAGGCACGAAAGCGUGGGGAUCAAAC
RNAcentral lists this ribosomal RNA (250 nucleotides) under uncultured bacterium. Its description in RNAcentral is "partial 16S ribosomal RNA". It matches the Rfam family "Bacterial small subunit ribosomal RNA", at positions 524 to 773 of the family's 1533-position model. The record is from RNAcentral.